RNAcentral lists this ribosomal RNA (292 nucleotides) under uncultured bacterium. RNAcentral describes it as "partial 16S ribosomal RNA". It matches the Rfam family "Bacterial small subunit ribosomal RNA", at positions 505 to 796 of the family's 1533-position model. The record is from RNAcentral.
GUGCCAGCCGCCGCGGUAAGACGUAGGGGGCGAGCGUUGUCCGGAUUCAUUGGGCGUAAAGCGCGCGCAGGCGGCCGCGUAAGUCGGAUGUGAAACCCCGGGGCUCAACCCCGGGCCUGCACCCGAUACUGCACGGCUAGAGGUAGGUAGGGGAGAUCGGAAUUCCUGGUGUAGCGGUGAAAUGCGCAGAUAUCAGGAGGAACACCGGUGGCGAAGGCGGAUCUCUGGGCCUUACCUGACGCUCAGGCGCGAAAGCUAGGGGAGCGAACAGGAUUAGAAACCCCUGUAGUCC